This 177-nucleotide long non-coding RNA is filed under the name Columba livia (rock pigeon). RNAcentral's name for it is "partial uncharacterized LOC102095402". The record is from RNAcentral. Lineage: Eukaryota; Metazoa; Chordata; Aves; Columbiformes; Columbidae.
GAGGGAAGGUCCUCAGAGAGAUUCCUGAAAGUUAAAGAAGAUAAAUGUUGCGCUUGACAGAAAAUUAUGCAGGUGACAGAACUCCAGGGACAUCACUUCACCUGAAGCUGGGCACAAUGAGACCUAUGCCUCGGCUUUUCCCCCAAUCUCCUUCUCAGACAAAGCUCAACCACAAGG